Molecule: ribosomal RNA, 1055 nt
Filed under: Klebsiella oxytoca
Lineage: Bacteria; Pseudomonadati; Pseudomonadota; Gammaproteobacteria; Enterobacterales; Enterobacteriaceae
Description: bacterial SSU rRNA
Rfam family: Bacterial small subunit ribosomal RNA
Source: RNAcentral
CCGCAUGAUACCAGACAGUCCUAUCCAUAAUAGGUCGAGCGGUAGCACAGAGAGCUUGCUCUCGGGUGACGAGCGGGGAAGGGUGAGUAAUGUCUGGGAAACUGCCUGAUGGAGGGGGAUAACUACUGGAAACGGUAGCUAAUACCGCAUAAUGUCGCAAGACCAAAGUGGGGGACCUUCGGGCCUCAUGCCAUCAGAUGUGCCCAGAUGGGAUUAGCUAGUAGGUGGGGUAACGGCUCACCUAGGCGACGAUCCCUAGCUGGUCUGAGAGGAUGACCAGCCACACUGGAACUGAGACACGGUCCAGACUCCUACGGGAGGCAGCAGUGGGGAAUAUUGCACAAUGGGCGCAAGCCUGAUGCAGCCAUGCCGCGUGUGUGAAGAAGGCCUUCGGGUUGUAAAGCACUUUCAGCGGGGAGGAAGGCGAUAAGGUUAAUAACCUUGUCGAUUGACGUUACCCGCAGAAGAAGCACCGGCUAACUCCGUGCCAGCAGCCGCGGUAAUACGGAGGGUGCAAGCGUUAAUCGGAAUUACUGGGCGUAAAGCGCACGCAGGCGGUCUGUCAAGUCGGAUGUGAAAUCCCCGGGCUCAACCUGGGAACUGCAUUCGAAACUGGCAGGCUAGAGUCUUGUAGAGGGGGGUAGAAUUCCAGGUGUAGCGGUGAAAUGCGUAGAGAUCUGGAGGAAUACCGGUGGCGAAGGCGGCCCCCUGGACAAAGACUGACGCUCAGGUGCGAAAGCGUGGGGAGCAAACAGGAUUAGAUACCCUGGUAGUCCACGCCGUAAACGAUGUCGAUUUGGAGGUUGUGCCCUUGAGGCGUGGCUUCCGGAGCUAACGCGUUAAAUCGACCGCCUGGGGAGUACGGCCGCAAGGUUAAAACUCAAAUGAAUUGACGGGGGCCCGCACAAGCGGUGGAGCAUGUGGUUUAAUUCGAUGCAACGCGAAGAACCUUACCUGGUCUUGACAUCCACAGAACUUAGCAGAGAUGCUUUGGUGCCUUCGGGAACUGUGAGACAGGUGCUGCAUGGCUGUCGUCAGCUCGUGUUGUGAAAUGG